UGCUGUAGGCCAUACCACCUUAAGAAUGCCUGAUCUUGUCUGAUUACGAAGUUAAGCAGAGCUGAGCCUGGUUAGUACUUGGGUGGCAGACUUCUGGGAAUACCGGGAACCACAGUGG
RNAcentral lists this ribosomal RNA (118 nucleotides) under Periophthalmus magnuspinnatus. Lineage: Eukaryota; Metazoa; Chordata; Actinopteri; Gobiiformes; Gobiidae. The record is from RNAcentral.